RNAcentral lists this ribosomal RNA (1220 nucleotides) under human gut metagenome. Its description in RNAcentral is "bacterial LSU rRNA". It matches the Rfam family "Bacterial large subunit ribosomal RNA", at positions 1152 to 2387 of the family's 2925-position model. The record is from RNAcentral.
AGAGGUCCUGCGCCGAAAAUGUCCGGGGCUGAAACACGACACCGAAGCUUAGGAACAAAGAAACCAAGGUUUCUAUAUGUUGGUAGAGGAGCAUUGUUAGCGGAACGAAGCCAUACCGGAAGGAGUGGUGGACUGCUAAGAAGAGAGAAUGCCGGAAUGAGUAGCGAGAUUGAAGUGAGAAUCUUCAAGGCCGAAUAUCUAAGGUUUCCAGGGUAAAGCUGAUCUGCCCUGGGUAAGUCGGGACCUAAGGCGAGGUCGGAAGACGUAGCCGAUGGACAACAGGUUGAAAUUCCUGUACUGCGAUAUAUCAGAAAUGUGGGGACACAGAAGGAAAGUGUGAGCCGGGAAAGGAAAGACCGGUGCAAGCACAGGAGGAGAGAUACAGGCAAAUCCGUAUUUCAAUCCAAUGGUGUUACGCGGAGCGAACAAAAGUAGCGAAGCACACAGACCAUCUGUCGAGAAAAGCCGCUAUUGUGUAUACCGUACCCGUACCGUAAACCGACACAGGUGGAUGAGGAGAGAAUCCUAAGGCCGGCGGGAGAAGCAUUGUUAAGGAACUCGGCAAAAUGACCCCGUAACUUCGGGAGAAGGGGUGCUCACGCAAGUGAGCCGCAGAGAACUGGCCCAAGCAACUGUUUAGCAAAAACACAGGUCUAUGCAAAACCGAAAGGUGAGGUAUAUGGGCUGACGCCUGCCCGGUGCUGGAAGGUUAAGAGGAGAGGUUAGCGCAAGCGAAGCUUUGAAUUUAAGCCCCAGUAAACGGCGGCCGUAACUAUAACGGUCCUAAGGUAGCGAAAUUCCUUGUCGGGUAAGUUCCGACCCGCACGAAAGGCGUAAUGAUUUGGGCACUGUCUCGACAAUGCACCCGGUGAAAUUGAAAUACCAGUGAAGAUGCUGGUUACCUGCGCCAGGACGGAAAGACCCCAUGGAGCUUUACUCUAGCUUGAUACUGGGAUUCGGUAUUGCAUGUACAGGAUAGGUGGGAGACUAAGAGGUGAUGACGCCAGUUGUCACGGAGUCGAUGUUGGGAUACCACCCCUGCAGUACUGGGUUUCUAACCUGCGGCCGUGACCCGGCCGGGGGACAAUGUCUGGUGGGGAGUUUGACUGGGGCGGUCGCCUCCGAAAGGGUAUCGGAGGCGCUCAAAGGUUCCCUCAGAAUGGUUGGAAACCAUUCGAAGAGUGCAAAGGCAGAAGGGAGCUUGACUGCGACACCGACGG